This 845-nucleotide ribosomal RNA is filed under the name uncultured bacterium. RNAcentral describes it as "bacterial SSU rRNA". It matches the Rfam family "Bacterial small subunit ribosomal RNA", at positions 8 to 813 of the family's 1533-position model. The record is from RNAcentral.
AGAGUUUGAUCCUGGCUCAGGACGAACGCUGGCGGCGUGCCUAAUACAUGCAAGUCGAGCGAGCUUGCCUAGAUGAUUUUAGUGCUUGCACUAAAUGAAACUAGAUACAAGCGAGCGGCGGACGGGUGAGUAACACGUGGGUAACCUGCCCAAGAGACUGGGAUAACACCUGGAAACAGAUGCUAAUACCGGAUAACAACACUAGACGCAUGUCUAGAGUUUGAAAGAUGGUUCUGCUAUCACUCUUGGAUGGACCUGCGGUGCAUUAGCUAGUUGGUAAGGUAACGGCUUACCAAGGCAAUGAUGCAUAGCCGAGUUGAGAGACUGAUCGGCCACAUUGGGACUGAGACAGGGCCCAAACUCCUACGGGAGGCAGCAGUAGGGAAUCUUCCACAAUGGACGAAAGUCUGAUGGAGCAACGCCGCGUGAGUGAAGAAGGGUUUCGGCUCGUAAAGCUCUGUUGGUAGUGAAGAAAGAUAGAGGUAGUAACUGGCCUUUAUUUGACGGUAAUUACUUAGAAAGUCACGGCUAACUACGUGCCAGCAGCCGCGGUAAUACGUAGGUGGCAAGCGUUGUCCGGAUUUAUUGGGCGUAAAGCGAGUGCAGGCGGUUCAAUAAGUCUGAUGUGAAAGCCUUCGGCUCAACCGGAGAAUUGCAUCAGAAACUGUUGAACUUGAGUGCAGAAGAGGAGAGUGGAACUCCAUGUGUAGCGGUGGAAUGCGUAGAUAUAUGGAAGAACACCAGUGGCGAAGGCGGCUCUCUGGUCUGCAACUGACGCUGAGGCUCGAAAGCAUGGGUAGCGAACAGGAUUAGAUACCCUGGUAGUCCAUGCCGUAAACGAUGAG